GCAACUCAGGCUAAGAUGAAAGCUGCAGAAUCUACACCAAUCUACACUCCGUACACCGUCAGAAACGAAUAAAGAAGCUUUAAUAACAUCGAUUAACGUUGACCAGCAGAUGUCAUCAGUGAGCAACGUUUGAGAUCAAGUUCUUCAAAGCAGAUGAUGGAGCAGAUAGCUGACCUCGCGCACAGUCAGAGUCAGCUGAAGGAGCUGACCAAGGAGAUGAGACAAUGGCUGGAUGUCGCUGACGAGGAGAUAUCAGAGCUGCGCUCACAGAACACUAGCAUGACAAAGCACAUCAAAAGACUGGAGAAGCUCCUCAGUGAAAAAGCCCACAAUGAAGCAGAGUCAAGCGGGUUACUACGAGGCGAGGACCUUGAUGCAGAUAAAAUCAAUGCGCAAAAGAUGAACAAGAU
This 410-nucleotide long non-coding RNA is filed under the name Gouania willdenowi (blunt-snouted clingfish). RNAcentral describes it as "lncRNA (ENSGWIG00000003219.1)". The record is from RNAcentral. Lineage: Eukaryota; Metazoa; Chordata; Actinopteri; Blenniiformes; Gobiesocidae.